RNAcentral lists this ribosomal RNA (332 nucleotides) under uncultured bacterium. RNAcentral's name for it is "bacterial SSU rRNA". It matches the Rfam family "Bacterial small subunit ribosomal RNA", at positions 568 to 898 of the family's 1533-position model. The record is from RNAcentral.
CGCGUAGGCGGUUUUUUAAGUCAGAUGUGUAAUCCCCGAGCUUAACUUGGGAACUGCAUCUGAGACUGGAAGGCUAGAGUACUGGAGAGGGUGGUGGAAUUCCUCGUGUAGCGGUGAAAUGCGUAGAGAUGAGGAGGAACACCAGUGGCGAAGGCGGCCACCUGGACAGUAACUGACGCUGAGGCGCGAAAGUGUGGGUAGCAAACAGGAUUAGAUACCCUGGUAGUCCACGCUGUAAACGAUGAACACUUGGUGCGGAGGGAGUUGACCCCUUCCGUGCCGGAGCUAACGCGUUAAGUGUUCCGCCUGGGGAGUACGGUCGCAAGGCUGAA